This 23-nucleotide ribosomal RNA is filed under the name Tecomella undulata. Its description in RNAcentral is "partial 18S ribosomal RNA". The record is from RNAcentral. Lineage: Eukaryota; Viridiplantae; Streptophyta; Magnoliopsida; Lamiales; Bignoniaceae.
CCUGCGGAAGGAUCAUUGUCGAA